This 638-nucleotide long non-coding RNA is filed under the name Zonotrichia albicollis (white-throated sparrow). RNAcentral describes it as "lncRNA (ENSZALG00000016045.1)". The record is from RNAcentral. Lineage: Eukaryota; Metazoa; Chordata; Aves; Passeriformes; Passerellidae.
CUGCUCUGAUGGCUCUAUUGGAUAGAUAGGUGAGAAACACAAAGGCCUGAAAAAAGGAAAAGAAAUUAUUUUCUUCAUACAGGCUGCCAUUCAAGCAGAUACUUUGAAGGACAACAAACAACAUUGGGAUUGAAGUGAUCAAGGAGAGCAGUGGUGUGGGGAAGGUGGCUCUGAAAGCAAGAAGUGACAGAGAAACCCCAUGAAACCCCAUGAACUCACUUCACUGUACUGUGGGACCAGCAAAUCUGAUGUAUGUGCAACUAGUGUGGAAGCCUGACACUGUCAAAAUUUGUUAUCAUGGGCUCUCUGCCAUCACCCCAGCUGGCAAAAAUGGGACACGGUUCCAGUGCAUGAAUGGAAGGUCAGCCAGACGAUGCUCUGCUGUCACACAGGAGGAGUCUUUCAGGGCUGACUUUCCUGGAAGUUGCUAAUGAUGUAUUUUGACCUCUCUGUUUUAGAGAUGCUUUGCAGUCAGUGAUACUCAGGGAGUGGCACUCCUUGAAACUGACACGUGCUUCAUCUGCUUGUGAAAUGUUGCAAGGAAAGAUACCGCCUGUAAAACUUUAUUUGUAGCCUCACUGGAUCAUUAGGAAAAUUCUCUUAAUAAAGGAUGCUCCUGAAUCUUAUUAGUUGCUUCA